UCUACCCAUGUCUUCCACCAACGAAACCUCCCAGACACAGAGGGAUCUCCCUAUAACACAGUAAAAUACAGGCAGGUAGGGAAAUGGAUCGGAGAGCUAACUAACGGCUCAUGAGCAAGCACCCUAAAAAAGACGGAGUUAGGAUGUUGGAAAAGGCUGGAAUUAAAUGGGACAUAAAAGUUAGGAGAUGGACCAGGAGUAACCGGGCACAUAGAAAGCUGAUAGCUGGCUUCAAUGUCACUAUAUAGUCAAGGAUUACCACCUCACGAUUGCUGGCAUGACAAGCGUGAGUCAACAUGUCAUGUUUAUGUAGUGCCAAGGGCUGAAACCAGAAUUUCACACAUGUGAGAGUCAAAGAGAAGAGCUUACUUAGCACCUCGUAAAGAGAGAACCUUCCCAGCCUUCCCUGUCCGAACGCCAAGCUCAAUGUCAAACUCAGCGUUUGAGAGCACACCCAAGAG
This is a long non-coding RNA of Peromyscus leucopus (white-footed mouse), 461 nucleotides long. RefSeq lists it as uncharacterized. The transcript has 3 exons. The record is from RefSeq and is a predicted model, not a curated record. NCBI's taxonomy places the organism in Eukaryota, Metazoa, Chordata, Mammalia, Rodentia, Cricetidae.